AAAAAAAAAAAAAAAAAAAACCGGUGCCCCACAGAGUGUGUAGAAGUUAAUGUCUCAUAAAGAUGCACCGAUGUACCAAGCAGGAAAGAGAUGCAGUUAGCACAGGAUAAUUAAGUUUGACAAAAGUAAAUGGGAGGUUAUCAACAUCAUAUAGGCCAAUACAAACUAAUCAACUGAUAACUCCAUUUGCAAACUGGCUCAUCCUCCACGCAUAUGAGCACCUAACUCACCAAACUGAUCAUCAGCUUCCACAGUAUCCUCUGACAGGCGAACAGCAUCCAGCUUUUGUUU
Molecule: unclassified non-coding RNA, 291 nt
Filed under: Hevea brasiliensis (rubber tree)
Lineage: Eukaryota; Viridiplantae; Streptophyta; Magnoliopsida; Malpighiales; Euphorbiaceae
Source: RNAcentral